This 715-nucleotide ribosomal RNA is filed under the name uncultured archaeon. RNAcentral's name for it is "bacterial SSU rRNA". It matches the Rfam family "Archaeal small subunit ribosomal RNA", at positions 102 to 817 of the family's 1478-position model. The record is from RNAcentral.
GGACAACCUGCCCUCGGGUGGGGGAUAACCCCGGGAAACUGGGGCUAAUCCCCCAUAGGGGAUGGGUACUGGAAUGUCCCAUCUCCGAAAGCGCUUAGCGCCCGAGGAUGGGUCUGCGGCGGAUUAGGUUGUUGGUGGGGUAACGGCCCACCAAGCCGAAGAUCCGUACGGGCCAUGAGAGUGGGAGCCCGGAGAUGGACCCUGAGACACGGGUCCAGGCCCUACGGGGCGCAGCAGGCGCGAAACCUCCGCAAUGUGGGAAACCGCGACGGGGUCAGCCGGAGUGCUCGCGCAUCGCGCGGGCUGUCGGGGUGCCUAAAAAGCACCCCAUAGCAAGGGCCGGGCAAGGCCGGUGGCAGCCGCCGCGGUAAUACCGGCGGCCCGAGUGGCGGCCACUUUUAUUGGGCCUAAAGCGUCCGUAGCCGGGCUGGUAAGUCCUCCGGGAAAUCUGGUCGCUUAACGAUCAGACUGCCGGAGGAUACUGCCAGCCUAGGGACCGGGAGAGGCCGGGGGUAUUCCCGGGGUAGGGGUGAAAUCCUGUAAUCCCGGGAGGACCACCUGUGGCGAAGGCGCCCGGCUGGAACGGGUCCGACGGUGAGGGACGAAGGCCAGGGGAGCGAACCGGAUUAGAUACCCGGGUAGUCCUGGCUGUAAACGAUGCGGACUAGGUGUCACCGAAGCUACGAGCUUCGGUGGUGCCGGAGGGAAGCCGUUA